Molecule: ribosomal RNA, 164 nt
Filed under: uncultured bacterium
Lineage: Bacteria
Description: partial 16S ribosomal RNA
Rfam family: Bacterial small subunit ribosomal RNA
Source: RNAcentral
UAGGGAAUCUUCCACAAUGGGCGAAAACCUGAUGGAGCAACGCCGCGUGUGUGAUGAAGGCUUUCGGGUCGUAAAGCACUGUUGUAUGGGAAGAACAGCUAGAAUAGGAAAUGAUUUUAGUUUGACGGUACCAUACCAGAAAGGGACGGCUAAAUACGUGCCAG